Molecule: ribosomal RNA, 511 nt
Filed under: uncultured Enterobacterales bacterium
Lineage: Bacteria; Pseudomonadati; Pseudomonadota; Gammaproteobacteria; Enterobacterales
Description: bacterial SSU rRNA
Rfam family: Bacterial small subunit ribosomal RNA
Source: RNAcentral
GAACUUAGCAGAGAUGCUUUGGUGCCUUCGGNAACUCUGAGACAGGUGCUGCAUGGCUGUCGUCAGCUCGUGUUGUGAAAUGUUGGGUUAAGUCCCGCAACGAGCGCAACCCUUAUCCUUUGUUGCCAGCGGUUCGGCCGGGAACUCAAAGGAGACUGCCGGUGAUAAACCGGAGGAAGGUGGGGAUGACGUCAAGUCAUCAUGGCCCUUACGGCCAGGGCUACACACGUGCUACAAUGGCGCAUACAAAGAGAAGCGACCUCGCGAGAGCAAGCGGACCUCAUAAAGUGCGUCGUAGUCCGGAUUGGAGUCUGCAACUCGACUCCAUGAAGUCGGAAUCGCUAGUAAUCGUAGAUCAGAAUGCUACGGUGAAUACGUUCCCGGGCCUUGUACACACCGCCCGUCACACCAUGGGAGUGGGUUGCAAAAGAAGUAGGUAGCUUAACCUUCGGGAGGGCGCUUACCACUUUGUGAUUCAUGACUGGGGUGAAGUCGUAACAAGGUACCCGUA